GCUCCUACCGAUUGAGUGAUCCGGUGAACCUUCUGGACUGCGUUUGGGCUUGAACCACAUGCGGGAAGUUAUGUAAACCUUAUCACUUAGAGGAAGGAGAAGUCGUAACAAGGUUUCC
RNAcentral lists this ribosomal RNA (118 nucleotides) under Intramacronucleata sp. RNAcentral's name for it is "partial small subunit ribosomal RNA". It matches the Rfam family "Eukaryotic small subunit ribosomal RNA", at positions 1678 to 1804 of the family's 1831-position model. Lineage: Eukaryota; Ciliophora. The record is from RNAcentral.